Dromaius novaehollandiae (emu) is the source of this 2398-nucleotide long non-coding RNA. RefSeq lists it as uncharacterized. The transcript is spliced from 2 exons. NCBI's taxonomy places the organism in Eukaryota, Metazoa, Chordata, Aves, Casuariiformes, Dromaiidae. The record is from RefSeq and is a predicted model, not a curated record.
AAAAUGUAUUGAAGUAUUCUCAUUUUCAGAUGUCAAGAAGCUGAAUAAAGAGCUACUUGCUCUCCAGUGUUAUGUACAGUAUUGAGAGCAUGCCAAAACCACACACAACUCUGAGCUCCCUGGCUUUAUAUAUACUUUUUCUUUUUUUUCCUUUCAUUUCUUUGUUUUUUUUAAACUGAUUACAGACUGAGGUACUCAUGUCCUUUUCCUUACUAGGCUAAUGGUUAGAGCACUUGCCCAUAAAAGGCCUUCAAAGAAUCCUGCCUGUUUUACAGGUGCAUAUUGAUGCAAGUUCCCAGAUGACAUGAAGCACUGUAACCAGUGGGCCAUUUUAGAAAAGGAGAAGCCUUAUGGGAUCCCUUGAAGCAUACUGGAAGAUGUAUUGCUUCAGCAGCCCAGCCAAGAUCCUGAAUGGGCAAAGGUGCAUGAUUCAGUCACCUAUGAUCUGGGGAGGAUUUCAGAUACAUUUUUCACAGCGUUUCUGGAUCCUUUGCUUGAGGAACUCAUACGCUCAAGAAGCCUUAGCACCAGGACUUCCUGAAUCAGCAAUUGCCAACAAAGACAUGCCUUGUAUAACAUCCUUAUGUGAGGCCUGUAAAAAGCUCAGAACAAAUAAUUAAUGUUAUACUCUUACUGAAAACCUUUGUGAAGAUGGUCAGUACUAUCGAAGACGUAAAGCCAAUAGUAAACAUGUUACUUCAGAACUGAAUUGAAAGCAGACUCUUACUUUGACCAAAAGCACUACACUUGCUUUAUGUUUAUCAGCUUCUGUGCGAUUCAGAGCGCCAAGAUAAAUGAGUUGCCUGCUGGAAGGAGGCAUUGGAGAUACUGUGUGGAGCAGCUCUGACCUCGUCAAGGCUUUAUAUGGCUCCUGGACUUGCUGACAGCUGGGGUUGCACAGGCCUUUCCUCUCUCUUCCUUGGGGAAGCCUCUCUGCAUAUUGUACAAAGCUGUCACCUAAAUCAGGCUCUGUUCCUUCUGAGCAGAAAAGUUCGGAAGAUAGCUGAAACACAGGCAAAACCCACUCAGUUUCAAGGAAGAAGUGCCUUGUCUGAGACAGAUUUCUCCUCAGUAUUUUAAACAUCCUGAGGAAUGGAUAUUUUGGAAUCUGCGUGGCUUGGAAGCAGCCAUGGCCUUAAGAAUGCUCCUUAUGUCUUUUCAUACCAAUUUAUUAAUUUCAAACUUCAAAACUGAAGAGACGGUAAGUGUUUCUAUGGUUGGGAAAAUAGGGGCAUCACAGGUAGUGACAAUACUAUGCCCCCACUUCAGGAACACACUGUAUGCACUUGUCUAUCCCCGUUGUGUAUUUUGGCAACUUUAAGCAUGUGUUCACAUCACAUUCACUUCAUAUGCUUUCUUGAUCAUCUGUAUGUGGAAGAUUAGCUUUUGGUCUUCUACUUUUUGACUAGCACCUCAAAUUCAUGAGUUGGCAUUCACUCAGAGAGGGACACAUUUGAUAUCUGGAGAAACCUGCUAGUUGGAAUUGUAUUGCAGCAUAGGAGUGUCUAGGGACUUCUUGGAGUCUUUGUCAUUGCCUCCUCUUCUUAAAUAACCCGUGUCAGAUAUACUCUAGUGCUGUUGUUCCUGCCUGGGAUAUGAGCCUGGAUUAGGUGAUGUCUUAAGGCCCAUCCUUGAGGAAAAUUAGGUGUAUUUCCUCUAUUCAGACAGAACUAAAUCAAGUGAAUGUUUUUUAUUGUUUUGAUUCAUAUUUUUGUGGAUAAAGCUCCUUGUGUUUCUCAAGAGUUUCUUUAUUGUGAGGACUCCUGCUAUUAUGUCUUGAACGUGCAGUGUGACUUGGUGACUGGCAGUUUAUAUGCCUUUUUUUUCCUAAUUCCAUUCAGACUCUGUGUCUGUCCAUUCAGUUUACUUAGGUAUAAAUAAAGAGAUUAGAUCAUUUUUUCAUCAACUGAUCAAGAUAUUAAUAUAUUUGCUUUUUAGCAUCAAAAAGUUUUUUUUACAAAAGCUUUUCUUAAACUACGAGGUUCUAAACAUUGAUUUUAGAAUGGAUUGGUAUCAAUGUUGUUGCCUGUGCUGCAGCUCAACCGUGCCUCAUUCAAGGGGUAUGUGUAUCUCAUUGGGAGGUGACGUGACAGAAACAGUCUGUCACUUAUAUAGCUGAUUCAAAUCACAUCCUCCGUUUUCUUCAAAAGGUGCAGUUAAAAGGUCCUGUCCUUUUCUUUUUACCAGCCCUCCACCUGCACACCUUUCUGAAUGGACAUUUCAGCAGUGGCAGUCAGAAGGGACUGUGACACACUGCAGACAUGAUCCCAAGGAAGCACAAAUUGUAGCUCGAUUAACUGAAGCUGUGUGUUACUGUCAAAAAUGAAUAUGAAUGAUAUGAAUGUUUGGGGUUGGGGAAUAAACCUGGGCAGCUGCGACCUACUGGAGGUCAAGGCUG